CAGAAAUUUUAAAAAAAAUGUAGAACAGAUCAAUGAAACUACGGGCUAGUUGUUUGAAAGAAUUAAAAGGAUUGAUAAACUCUUAGCCAGAUUUAACAAAAAGAA
Long non-coding RNA from Mustela erminea (ermine), 105 nucleotides. RefSeq lists it as uncharacterized. The transcript is spliced from 3 exons. The record is from RefSeq and is a predicted model, not a curated record. Lineage: Eukaryota; Metazoa; Chordata; Mammalia; Carnivora; Mustelidae.